Non-coding RNA from Oryza glaberrima (African rice), 127 nucleotides. The record is from Rfam. Lineage: Eukaryota; Viridiplantae; Streptophyta; Magnoliopsida; Poales; Poaceae.
AAAAAGGCAAACCCUGGGUUUCCGUGUCCAACUUUGACUGUCUGUCUUAUAUGUAAUUUUUUUCAUAAUUUUUUCAAAUAAGACGGAUGGUCAAACGUUGGACACGGAAACCAGGGUUUGUCUUUUU